Molecule: transfer RNA, 63 nt
Filed under: Gunungidia aurantiifasciata
Lineage: Eukaryota; Metazoa; Arthropoda; Insecta; Hemiptera; Cicadellidae
Also listed under: 1 other name
Description: tRNA-Asp
Source: RNAcentral
AAAGAUUUAGUUUAUACAAAACAUAAAAUUGUCAAUUUUAAAAAACUAUAUUAGUAAUCUUUU